AUGCUCACUUGCUGUUUUCUUACUCUUAGUUACCUGAUGUUUAAGAUUCAUCCACAUAACACUGAUACACUUCUGCUGUCACUUACUGUGUCUGCCUUGUGUGGGGCUUGGGUGUGGGCUCCCAGCUGGAGCUGUCUGAGGUGUCGUUGCCUUUCAGCUGUUUGCUAUGAGUGCUUGAUAUGGGAGAGGGAUAGCUCAGGCUGGGUUUUUGCCUGUGGCUGCUGCUGUAGGCUAGACUGCAAGACAGGAGCUGUGGGGAGCGUAGGGGUUUUUGUCAGCUUUGCACAGACCCCUUUCUGCAGGAACUGGAGGCUGUGUGAUUGGAGAGCGAUGCCACUAAUGGGAGCCUACUUGUACUUUGUCCAAAGGAAAGAGAUUGACUGUUUCACUAAACAAGAAGUGCUCACAUCAGAGGUCUGCAGUUCAGCUCCUUUGCAGAGAGGAUAUUAA
Molecule: long non-coding RNA, 450 nt
Filed under: Anser cygnoides (Swan goose)
Lineage: Eukaryota; Metazoa; Chordata; Aves; Anseriformes; Anatidae
Description: lncRNA (ENSACDG00005011727.1)
Source: RNAcentral